CCUACGGGAGGCAGCAGUAGGGAAUCUUCCACAAUGGGCGAAAGCCUGAUGGAGCAACGCCGCGUGGGUGAAGAAGGUCUUCGGAUCGUAAAACCCUGUUGUUAGAGAAGAAAGUGCGUGAGAGUAACUGUUCACGUUUCGACGGUAUCUAACCAGAAAGCCACGGCUAACUACGUGCCAGCAGCCGCGGUAAUACGUAGGUGGCAAGCGUUAUCCGGAUUUAUUGGGCGUAAAGGGAACGCAGGCGGUCUUUUAAGUCUGAUGUGAAAGCCUUCGGCUUAACCGGAGUAGUGCAUUGGAAACUGGGAGACUUGAGUGCAGAAGAGGAGAGUGGAACUCCAUGUGUAGCGGUGAAAUGCGUAGAUAUAUGGAAGAACACCAGUGGCGAAAGCGGCUCUCUGGGCUGUAUCUGACGCUGAGGUUCGAAAGCGUGGGUAGCAAACAGGAUUAGAUACCCGAGUAGUC
RNAcentral lists this ribosomal RNA (465 nucleotides) under uncultured bacterium. RNAcentral's name for it is "partial 16S ribosomal RNA". It matches the Rfam family "Bacterial small subunit ribosomal RNA", at positions 338 to 795 of the family's 1533-position model. The record is from RNAcentral.